GAGAAUUUAAAUAGCCGCAGUACCCUGACUGUGCAAAGGUAGCAUAAUCAGUUGGCUUAUAAUUGAAGUCUAGUAUGAAUGGGAACACGGGAAUAUUCUGUCUUUAAUAUAUAAAAGAAAUUACUAAUUAAGUGAAAAUUCUUUAAAGUAAGAAAAUAGACGAGAAGACCCUAGAAAUUUUUUUUAAUUUGAUUUUGUUGGGGCGACAGGGUAACAAAAAACUUACCUAAAGUAAUAGGAAAUUUUUUAGUGGUGUAAUUAAAUUACUCUAGGGAUAACAGCAUAAUAUUUUAAAGGUUGUGACCUCGAUGUUGGACUAGGAAAUACACUACUUAAAAGGUAGUGUUUAUGGUUCUGUUCGAACUUUUACUCCUACAU
Molecule: ribosomal RNA, 378 nt
Filed under: Monacha cartusiana
Lineage: Eukaryota; Metazoa; Mollusca; Gastropoda; Stylommatophora; Hygromiidae
Description: partial large subunit ribosomal RNA
Source: RNAcentral